RNA transcript from Doryrhamphus excisus (bluestripe pipefish), 3650 nucleotides. It is a transcript of the gene named transcription factor HES-5-like, with no coding region annotated. The record is from RefSeq and is a predicted model, not a curated record. NCBI's taxonomy places the organism in Eukaryota, Metazoa, Chordata, Actinopteri, Syngnathiformes, Syngnathidae.
UAUAUCUCGCUUCUUUAAUGUUAAACGCUCUUUGUACCGUGUUGUAGUAUUGUAUUGUGUGAGUUCCUUUUACACCGAACCACCGAAUUGGUUGCUAGCUUCUGGGCUAGUAGUUGGAUUGUUAGCUUGCCCUUUCAAGGUGCUUAUAUAGUGUACUGCUAACAUCUAAUGUGUUGUGUUGCUGUGCAUUUUUGUUCAUAAAGCUGACCUGUGGUUUUAUAAGCAUUGCAGUAAGACGUGCUUCUGCUUGUUUCAUGUUAGUUUGUAUGCUUACUAGCACGGUUUUUGUAUGUUUUGUUCCCUUAUAAACACACACACCUACCUGCGGUGUCACGUGACAACAAAUAAGACGCCAUAAAUCUGGAUGCGGAUAUUCCGACCUUUGGACUGCACACCUGUAAAGAAUUGUUAUCAUUACCCAACAUUCUGUAGUUGUGAUAUAUUAUUUGUGUUGCAAGGUGCUCACUAAAAAGAGUUACAUCUAUUUAAAAUUGAUUUACAAUGCACUCUGAACCAGUUAAUCGUGGAUCGAUUGUCUAUGUCUGCUAAGGCCGAAAGGGGAGCUCAUGGCGGCGGCACUCCAUUCUGGAUGAGGAUGCCAUCUUGUCCGGCCGUCCUUAUUCACAUAUUUCCCCCUUUUCAGGAAGAAAGAGAAGAUGUGACUUCAAUAGAAAUCAGUGCCAGGGCCUCCAGGGGGCGCUGUGGGCUUCUCCUCACAGGAAGACUGAAUCUGCUGGAAGUGCGUCCUUGCUUGCUCCUUUGACAGGAAAUGCUCCACCUCAUGUGCACACCUUGAGAAACCUCGAUGCACCGGCGAGCCAUCCAAAGACCUGAGUCGCUUCAGGAAGCAAACGGUCACCUCCAGGACGUCUGCUUUCUCCAGCUUGGAGUCCGACUGCUGCGUGAGGAACUCUGGAGCCAGGAGAGACCUGAGCUGCUCGAUGCUGCUGUUGAUUCGCUCUCGUCGUAACUUCUCCACCAGAGGCUUUCUGAGCUGCAGAAGAAGAAACAUGAUGAAUAUGAAGACACUUCUUGUGGAGUUGGUGAGGAGAAGAUGAGGUGAUGAGGAAUCUUCAACAUACCUUGUGUGUGAGUGUCACAUGCUGCUGAGAGUUGCUGAUGGCUGCAGUGAUUGUAGGUGCCAUGGCUGGAUGUGUGUGCUGUCCACAAUGUGAUCUCUACUGGCUUCAUGCCUCCUAUUUAUAGUCCUACAUCUCCAUAUGAAUGUGUGCCUCUGGCUCUGGCUGCACUUUCUCACAGUGGCAGCCAAUCAGAGAGCUGGAUGACACAAAACACCAUGCGGCAUGCUUCGUGCUCUUAUUGCCUGCCUUGGGGGGGGGACAAUAGUUACAUCUCAGGGGAGCAGCUGGACCACUGGGGGGGUUAAAUGAAGCGGAGGGGCUCCCAGUGCUCUGUGUGAAUGUGGGAAAGUGGUGACCCUGUCGAGUGCAGACUUGCUGUUUGAUACUACUUUCACCCAGCACACUCCAUUAUUAUUAUUGUACGGGUGGUGAAUGCUUCCACUGAUGACGUAAAACAGUGAAAAUAAAUUCCUCUGUCCUCCAUCUGUCUAGAGCAGGGGUGGGCAAACUACGGCCCGGGGGCCACAUCCGGCCCACCAAGUGCUGGAAUACUGUUCUUUCCAAAAGUAUUUUAUUUAAACUCAACAUACAACCUGGCAUCAUGGCUUGAGCCAACCUUUUGACCUUAUCAAUUUUGUUAUUUGAUGUGGUCUGUUGUUUACAAAAUGCUCCUGAAAAAAGGGACACAAGCACAUAAUAAUAUUAAUAAUAAUAGUACAUUUAAUUUAAAACACACUUUACAUCAAAUAAAUGAUCUCAAAGUGCACAUAUAGCAAAUUGCAUGACACUUUUACGUGAAAUAUGUGUAAAAAUAUGCAUGUAAAAAUGGACUGUUACAUGUAAUAUAUUAUAUAGUCUGGUACCCCCGUAAAUUCUGUUUAAUCAAUGCAGCCCGCGAGUCAAGAAGUUUGCCCACCCCUGGUCUAGAGCAUCCCACCCCAAAAUGUAGCUUCUAGGCUUCUUUCCCAUGUGCCACCCCUUCAAGAAAGUGGUGGUGGAAUCCUGCUAAUUGUAUAAAUGCUAUACUGUUUGUCUAAAGUCCAUUAUAAAAAGAAAAACAAUACAUUUUUAAAGUAGCAGCUUUAUAGAAUGGCUGUUUACUCCCUACUCUAGCAGGAUACUAAUAUGAAUAUAAAAUAUCACAUAUUUACGUCAAUCCUAACAAACAAUGCGGUAUCAAUAAUCUGAGCAUCUAUUUGAUACUAUAUUUGUUCUUUAUGAUAAUUACACAAUUAUAAAAAUCAACUAUCAAGUCAUACCGCGAGUAGAACAUCCAACAUUCCAGCAUAGUGGAUUUAAUCAAAUUCACUAUUAGCUCAAUAUGUCUCUCACUUGUUGCCCACCAUCCGUUUGGUGGGAACUACUCAUGCACCAAAGGGUGAAAGGUCAGCUGACAUGCAAAACGCUCCCAGUUAGUCGUGGCUAUCGCAGAGUGUGUUGAAUGCGCCGCAUAAUGAGACACACUUCUAUUGUUGCUGCUGUGGGAAAGCAAAGUUCGGCCUCUCACAGACUUCGGCGGGACAAUUGAUGCCGACCUCUGACCCGAAGACACAGACGUGUGUCGGCGUGAUACUUAAACUUUAAAAGUCUCUUUAAAACGAUAAGUUUGAAAGUGAUAACAACAUAGAAAUACGCACACAAAUUAAGAACAUUAAAAUAAAGAACAUUAAACAACAACAUUAAAAUAAAGGAUUCAAUUAAUCAGAAUCAGAAAUUGUUUAUUGCCAGGUAUGAUCAAACACAUACUAGGAAUUUGUUUUGGUGAAGUAGGUGCAGACACAUCUAUUAAAAAUGAAAAUACAAAAUAUACAGAAUUAUAAUAUUAUAUAAUUCUAAUAUAUUAUAUUAUAUAAUUAUAUCAAAUGCAAUUCAGUAAAUCACACAGAAAUACAAUUAAACAUUUGUAGUAUCCACUUAUCAUCAGAUAAAGUACUGCAUAUAAAAAUGAUGUUAAUGUUGCUGGUUUCCAACAAGCUAUGAUGACUACACACUUCCAUACGUAUGUACAUAUUAUGUAUAUGAUGAGUGUGUGAAAGUGCACCCUGAUUUGCAUGGAGGACGCCACCAGCAGGCCUCUAUUCUCCAAAGGGAUUUGGCACACUUCAGGAAACAGUUGCUAGCUUGCUGCUUGGGUCCUUGUGAUGAUUCAAAACAUCUAAAGCCUGAGAGUCAACCAAUAGCGCUCUCUCUCCAUUUCCUCCAGAUGGCUUCUGACGUCAUCCCGUGUGUGUGUGUGUGUGUUUCAACGUAACGUAAUUCAUCUAAAGGCCCCAUUCAGAGUGGCUUUGUGUUUGAUGGACAGCACCAUUCAACGAGGGUGUGUGGGAAAGUGACAUGGAGCUUCUCCUCACCAGCCAUCACACUGCUGCUGGUUGCUGCUGUCUCACUGAUCUUUUUGUUGUAAUGUGAUGCUGCAGUUCUGUCUUAAAUCAAUGCUACCUUCCACAGCAGUUAGCAAGGGAACAAAUGGAGAUAGAAAACACAAACACUAACAACACUAGAUCGAUCAUAUUUUGGUGAAGAUCUAGAUCUUGAAUUAGUUUUCAUAAUGGCGUGUGCUGCUUGAAA